This 1113-nucleotide long non-coding RNA is filed under the name Macaca mulatta (Rhesus monkey). RNAcentral describes it as "lncRNA (ENSMMUG00000045027.2)". The record is from RNAcentral. Lineage: Eukaryota; Metazoa; Chordata; Mammalia; Primates; Cercopithecidae.
CUGGAACAAAUUGUGAAGCCCACGAGACUGAUGAAGCUUUCAUUAUUGAGCACCUGCUGUAUACCUCCUUGAGCUGAGGAGAGGGAUGAAGAGCUUAUGGCCAAGAGGGGACCAGGCCCACCCACAAACACUGCUGAUGUGGCAGGGAUGUGGCAACGCAGAAAGGAGCCAGGGGCUGGGCUCCCAGCAAUCUGGGGGCCACGGAGACUGGUUUGAGUGCAGGGGGAGUGGGCUAGGGCUAGCCCUGGUGGUAGGAUUCACAGGUGUCGGGCUCCUGGGCUGCAGCUGCUCAGUCACUUCCUAGCACUCAGGAGCAUCAGUUCAUUGUCCUCAUGCCAGUGGUGGGGGCAGCCCUCAUGCACAGGUUCUGAAAAAUGCUCAAGUGUACCUGUACUGUGGGAGAGGAAGGAGCCUGGCAAAGAUGCGCAUAGCCACCUCGCCAGGUGUGGGUCUUGAGGGAUCUUCUGUCUCCUCUCAGGUGGCUCAGAAUGUGGACCUGUACACAGGCGACCCCAACCUGGGGCUGGAGCUGUUUGAGGCAGCUGGAGACAUCUUCUUCAAUGGGGCCUGGGAGCGGGAGGAAGGCAUGUCCUUCUACCGGGACCGGGCCCUGCCCCGGCAGUGACUACGGGCAACCGCAAGGUGGAGCUGCAGCUACAGCUGUGCAACAAGCUGGUGUCACUGCUGGCCACACUGGAGGAGCCCCAGGAGGACUUGGAGUUUGCUUACAUGGCCCUAGCACUCAGGAUCACUCUGGGGGACCGGCUGAACGAACGCGUGGCCUACCACCGGCUGGCCGCCCUGCACCACCGGCUGGACCAUGGCAAGCUGGCGGAGCACUUCUACCUCAAGGCCGUUUAGCUCUGCAACUCGCCGCUGGAGUUCGACGAGGAGACCCUCUACUACGUGAAGGUGUACCUGGUGCUCGGUGACAUCAUCUUCUACGACCUGAAGGUGGGUGGGGAGGAGCAGGGCUCGGGGUGUUCCUGGCCCCCUUGGAGUGGGAUCUCCACCCGGACCCCAGAGGCCUGGGUUCCAGCCUUUCUUAGGAAUGGCCCAGUGGCCUCCCUCGAGCUCUACACCCAGCUGGAGGAGCCGGCAAGGUUAGCAGGU